UACGUAGGUGGCAAGCGUUGUCCGGAAUUAUUGGGCGUAAAGCGCGCGCAGGCGGCCUCUUAAGUCUGAUGUGAAAGCCCCCGGCUCAACCGGGGAGGGCCAUUGGAAACUGGGAGGCUUGAGUAUAGGAGAGAAGAGUGGAAUUCCACGUGUAGCGGUGAAAUGCGUAGAGAUGUGGAGGAACACCAGUGGCGAAGGCGACUCUGUGGCCUAUAACUGACGCUGAGGCGCGAAAGCGUGGGGAGCAAACAGG
RNAcentral lists this ribosomal RNA (253 nucleotides) under uncultured bacterium. RNAcentral's name for it is "partial 16S ribosomal RNA". It matches the Rfam family "Bacterial small subunit ribosomal RNA", at positions 524 to 776 of the family's 1533-position model. The record is from RNAcentral.